RNAcentral lists this ribosomal RNA (506 nucleotides) under uncultured bacterium. RNAcentral's name for it is "partial 16S ribosomal RNA". It matches the Rfam family "Bacterial small subunit ribosomal RNA", at positions 28 to 507 of the family's 1533-position model. The record is from RNAcentral.
GACGAACGCUGGCGGCGUGCUUAACACAUGCAAGUCGAACGGUGAAGGGACUGGUUUUGCUGGUCCUGGAUGAGUGGCGAACGGGUGAGUAACACGUGAGUAACCUGCCCCCUUCUUCUGGAUAACCGCAUGAAAGUGUGGCUAAUACGGGAUAUUCUGGGUCUGUCGCAUGGUGGGCCUGGGAAAGAUUGCGCCUUUUUUGGUGCUUUUGGUGGGGGAUGGGCUCGCGGCCUAUCAGCUUGUUGGUGGGGUGAUGGCCUACCAAGGCGGUGACGGGUAGCCGGCCUGAGAGGGUGGACGGUCACACUGGGACUGAGACACGGCCCAGACUCCUACGGGAGGCAGCAGUGGGGAAUAUUGCACAAUGGGCGCAAGCCUGAUGCAGCGACGCCGCGUGAGGGAUGGAGGCCUUCGGGUUGUGAACCUCUUUCGCCAGUGAAGCAGGCCUGCCUCUUUGUGUGGGUGGGUUGACGGUAGCUGGAGAAGAAGCGCCGGCUAACUACGUG